Molecule: long non-coding RNA, 958 nt
Filed under: Nicotiana benthamiana
Lineage: Eukaryota; Viridiplantae; Streptophyta; Magnoliopsida; Solanales; Solanaceae
Description: long non-coding RNA (NBEN_LNC028732)
Source: RNAcentral
UAUUAUUUACUUUUGAGCUGAUUAAAUUUUGAUUCUUUCUGAUGCAGCUGAAGAGUUAGAAGUCCUAUAAGCUGGAUGCAAGUGAUUUGAUGUAUGUCUACUUGGUGCUGUUUCCCUGGCCUGAGCCAGCAAAAUGGAUGAAUCAUUUGAGCUCAUGAAACCUGGCUCUUAUAAACUACUGUUCUAUGUCCGUAAAUGUUCGAUAAUACAGUUUGAUCGGGAUUUUAUGCUUGCUUAAUUUGCAAAUUUGAAUAUGGCCUUACACUUUUGAAUGCCACUAUGGUUGCUGGUUAUUUACUAACUUGGUUUGGAAAUUUGGAAACCAUUGUUUGGUGCUGGAUUUAUAAUGCUUUCUUGCAUGGCAAUCGCACCUCUGACACUUUGCCUGUGAUUGAUGGGUCUGAUGAAUUGCCUGAAUUUAGUACUGGUGAUAAAAAAUCUGGGCCAGCAGGUGUUCAUAUCUAAUUGGAUUGUAGAGCUGGAUUAGGAGUGGCCUUUGUUGUGUUCUUAUAAAAUCUCUUUUACAGUUAAUGGGAGUUAGCCGGGUAAUUUAUUCCAUUUUACCCUCUAUUGGUCCAUUCUAAGUUCUCAACUGCUAUGAUAUUAAUGUUGUUAACCUUUUGGCAGGCUAUUUUGUUCCUUUGUCCUUUUCUGGGUACAUGAUUGGCUCUCUUGCUAGUUUUGGUGCGCAUUUAAAUUUAUAGAGCGAGAUUGCUUCUGCAUGGAAAGAUCGUUGGUGGAAGAGUUAGUUUUCCUGUUAGAUGGUGACAUGUUUAGAUACUCUUGGAGGGUUCAGCAAUGUGGUUCCACUAAUUUGUUAUGCAUGCUUCUGCGCGGAAAGAUCGUUGGUGGAAGAGUUAGUUUUCCUGUUAGAUGGUGACAUGUUUAGAUACUCUUGGAGGGUUCAGCAAUAUGGGGCCGCUAAUUUGUUCUGCUUUGGUGUUUCCAUUUCGCGGGG